RNAcentral lists this long non-coding RNA (216 nucleotides) under Nicotiana benthamiana. RNAcentral describes it as "long non-coding RNA (NBEN_LNC000511)". Lineage: Eukaryota; Viridiplantae; Streptophyta; Magnoliopsida; Solanales; Solanaceae. The record is from RNAcentral.
UGGUUCAGUUUCCAAAGAGGAAGAAGAAGAGCCAGAGAAGGCUGGGAGUUGGCAGAGAUAGUUCUUAAGAUAGGAUGGAGAAUUAUGAGUUCUGGUAGAUUUUCUGAGAACAGGAGCAGAAGAAGAAGAAGAAGGCAAAAUGGGAGGAGAAGAUUGAUGGAUAGAUGAAGGAGAAUCAGAAAGAACAUCAUUUUCUCCAGAAGGUAAGGAAGAAAC